GUAGGGGGCGAGCGUUGUCCGAAGUUACUGGGCGUAAAGCGCGCGUAGGCGGGGAAUUAAGUGAGAAGUGAAAGGCUGGGGCUCAACCUCAUGCAGUGCUUCUCAUACUGGUUCUCUUGAGGGCGGUAGAGAGAAGUGGAAUGGCUGGUGUAGCGGUGAAAUGCGUAGAUAUCAGUCGGAACACCGGUGGCGAAGGCGGCUUCUUGGGCCGUUCCUGACGCUGAGGCGCGAAAGCCAGGGGAGCGAACGGGAUUAGAUACCCCGGUAGUCCUGGCCGUAAACGAUGGAUACUAGGUGUUGGGGGUAUCGACCCCUCCAGUGCCGCAGCUAACGCAAUAAGUAUCCCGCCUGGGGAGUACGGCCGCAAGGUUG
RNAcentral lists this ribosomal RNA (372 nucleotides) under uncultured organism. RNAcentral describes it as "bacterial SSU rRNA". It matches the Rfam family "Bacterial small subunit ribosomal RNA", at positions 527 to 896 of the family's 1533-position model. The record is from RNAcentral.